This 890-nucleotide long non-coding RNA is filed under the name Equus asinus (donkey). Its description in RNAcentral is "lncRNA (ENSEASG00005031573.1)". The record is from RNAcentral. Lineage: Eukaryota; Metazoa; Chordata; Mammalia; Perissodactyla; Equidae.
UGGGGCCAUAAUCUAAUAGGAUUGGUGGCCUUAUAAGAAGAAAAAGAGAGGGAACUCUCUCUCUGUCUCUCUGCCUCUCCCUCCCUCCCUCCAUGUACACAGACUGAGGAGAGGCCAUGUGAGGACACAGUGAGACAGUGACCAUUUGCAAGACAGGAAGAGAGCUGUCACCAGAACCUGAACCCUGCAGGAACCUUGAUCUUGGACUUUCCAGCCUCCCGAACUAUGAGUUGGCCUAAAAGAAAGGACAGUCCAGUAGCAACAAGCACACCCAGUACGAAGAUCUUGGUUUGUAAUACCAUUCUCUGCUAAAAGGAGUCGGAUUCCUCGGAGAAAGGACUGAUCGUAGGACUGCAGCAAGAAAUACCCAAGAUGAGCCUGGAGCAUCUUGUGGUGCCAGGAAGUAAGGAAGUGCUCAAAGGAGAGCAACAUUUGGAAUAGCUCAAGCUGCUGAGUUAAUCAUCGAGACGCCAUGGGGAUGUUUUAAGCUGUGGGCCUACCCACCUCGUAUGAUUUGGUGUCAACACAUCCACUGGACUGAGUAAGGCAAGCACUGCAGCUUGUCCGAGGCGGAGGAAUCAGAUUUGCUACCUUCCAAUUUUCCCAUCUCUGUUUAAAGCAUCCACGCCAACGACGAUGGUCAGGAAGACCAAGAUACCUGGAACGUCAACUAGAAAAAGAAUUAAAGAGAGAAUUUCUACCUUUCCUUUCCAGUUUUAUCAGCUCCAACUUCAGAGAAGAGCUCCAUAUAGAUGUCCUCAGCCAGAAGGGACAAGAACAGAUGAAUGACUUUCUUCACGCUUCUUGUUGGGUGAAUCAGUCAUGCUCCAGGGUCAUGUUAAGUUUGCCACUUUUGUAUAAAAUCACUUAAUAAAUUGAUUGGCACCUUA